RNAcentral lists this ribosomal RNA (263 nucleotides) under uncultured bacterium. Its description in RNAcentral is "partial 16S ribosomal RNA". It matches the Rfam family "Bacterial small subunit ribosomal RNA", at positions 99 to 353 of the family's 1533-position model. The record is from RNAcentral.
CGAACGGGUGAGUAAUACAUAAGUAACCUGCCCUAGACAGGGGGAUAACUAUUGGAAACGAUAGCUAAGACCGCAUAGGUACGGACACUGCAUGGUGACCGUAUUAAAAGUGCCUCAAAGCACUGGUAGAGGAUGGACUUAUGGCGCAUUAGCUGGUUGGCGGGGUAACGGCCUACCAAGGCGACGAUGCGUAGCCGACCUGAGAGGGUGACCGGCCACACUGGGACUGAGACACGGCCCAAACUCCUACGGGAGGCAGCAUG